UAGAUUUUCAGUUAUUUUUUAUAAUAUAUUGUCUACAAUAUUUGUUUUUGUUUUUAAUGUAUUGAUAGUUGAUAACACUGAUUGUUCUGUAAAUAGUGAUGGAUAUAAAAUACUUGAUGUAUUCGAGUAACCACAUUUAUAAAUUAAUAAUAAUAUAUUUUUAAUUUAUAAAAGUAUAACAAAAGUAAAAAUCAACAAUAUACUGUUGGAAUGUUGGAAAAUUAUUUAAUUACAACUUAUUUUAAUUUUUAAUAAUUUUGUUUGUAAGUAAAACACGAUUACUUGUGAAGAUUUAUAAAGAAGUACGACUACUUAGUAUUUUGUAAACGUAUUCACUAUAUUUUUUGUUCAAAAAAGAAGAAGCGCAAAUUAAUGGCUGAAGUGUUAAAAAGUAAAAUUUGAAAUAAAAAAAGAGUUAAAAGUAAAAUUUAAAAUAAAAAAAGAGUUAAAAAACAAUUAUUUAAAAAGUUUAAACAGUGGUUAAAAAAAUCUAUUUAAGUUAUAUCAGGUAAGGAAUCUGAAGAUUUUCCUUCAUCUUUAAACCAAGCAGACCAGUCCGUUUAUAAUGAGGAUCACGAGUCUACCCAAAAUUUUUCACAACCCCUACGGAAAAAAUUGAGAAUAUGGUUCCUAGAGUUUGGUCCAUCUGUACAGUGCUGCAACUCCCUCUUGAAGAUUUUGAAAUACGAAAAUAUGGAUGUUCCCAUCAGUGUUGGCGGUCUCUUACAGAGAACGGAAAAAUGCCAAACUA
Lucilia cuprina (Australian sheep blowfly) is the source of this 751-nucleotide long non-coding RNA. RefSeq lists it as uncharacterized. NCBI's taxonomy places the organism in Eukaryota, Metazoa, Arthropoda, Insecta, Diptera, Calliphoridae. The transcript has 2 exons. The record is from RefSeq and is a predicted model, not a curated record.